CUUGGUUGAACGUAGGAAGCAAAGCACGGGCGUUCUAGUUCCGCUUCUCUCCACAUCCAACACGUCUUUUGUUUCGUAGAGAGCCAUGGAUUGUCACACUGAGGGGGAGUGCAGCAGACCCCAGGAGGAGGAGGAGGACAUCAUGGACAUCCCCCUCGACGACCCUGAAGCCAACAAGGCCGCCGCCAAAAUCCAGGCCGGCUUCCGCGGCCACAUGACCCGCAAGAAGAUGAAGCCGGAGGAGAAGGCCGAAGGGGAGGAGAGACAGGAGGAGCGGGGGCAGUAGAGGGAGACGACAACACAUCUGUACCAGAGCAGUGACACCCCUCCCCCCACCCCCCAAACUCCCCGCAGCCCCACCCACCCACCCUCCAACACCCUCCAACACCCCACCCCACCUGUCCCCGUCUCGAAGGAAGGAAGACUGAAGGAGGAAGGGGGUAGGAGGAGGCUUGCCAGCGUGGGGGAGAGGAAGUUGGCUGGUACAAGCCUAGCAGGGGCUAUAGGCUGCUACUAUUAGGCACGCAACCUUUUUACCCAAGGAAUCACCACUUUGUAUGUACUAUAUAUUAUACACAGAUAAGCAGUAGUUAACCUAUGUUAUUCUCUUCAGGCAGAUUUUAAGGGUGUGUCGACUUGUGUGUGUGUGUGUGUUGUGCAUUUUGUGUGUGAAGUUGCUCGCUCCUCUGCUGCUGGUGCGUCCCGGUUCCUCGGUGUGGCUGUCUUUGACCCAGAUUGUGUGCAACGCGCUGCUGCAUGUGCUCGUGAAACUUCUGGUCGUGUGCUAGUUUUUAGUUUUGACGGCCCGUGGAUGUGUAAAUGAAUGUCUUCUGAAUUGCUAAACAGGGCUAGUUAUGGAUGAAAAUAGUUCCUGUCAUCUGUAAUAAAAAAAAAAAUGAAGAAAAGAUAGGAGAAAUACCUUUAAUAAGCCAUGAUAAGGUUCUGCAUUAUUAAUUAAUUAUUAUUUGUUUGGACUUGUUUGCCUUGCUUUUAUUGCUUGUGUUCAUUGAUAAAAGCUACACAAUUGUGAUUGUACUCAUUAUCAAGACAGAGGUAGCUAUAUGUAUAAAAUAUUAUCCUAUCUAUUCUUGCUUAAGUUAUACGAUUUUGGUUUUGACUUACAUCAAUGAUCAUUUUGAAUACAGAUCAAACACCAGUUCUCUGUUGACAGUAUUUUCUACAAAUCUGAUCUUCCAAAGCAGUAAGCAUGCAGUAAUAAUCUUUUCUUUCAAAUGUUCUUAGUCUAGCUUAAGCUAUAAAAAUUCGAUGAAUUCACUCUAUUCUUGUUUACAUGGGUUUAAGUUGUCAACCACAUUUCUAACCAAUAAUACAUUGUCAGUUAUCCAAGGAUGUAAAGUCAGUUAUAUGAUCAUGCGUAAGACUUAAAACUUUGCUUCAACCUGCUGUAAAAUCAUGCGGCUCCUUUAAUAAAUACAUACCAUAC
Gadus chalcogrammus (walleye pollock) is the source of this 1444-nucleotide long non-coding RNA. RefSeq lists it as uncharacterized. NCBI's taxonomy places the organism in Eukaryota, Metazoa, Chordata, Actinopteri, Gadiformes, Gadidae. The transcript is spliced from 3 exons. The record is from RefSeq and is a predicted model, not a curated record.